Molecule: ribosomal RNA, 576 nt
Filed under: uncultured eukaryote
Lineage: Eukaryota
Description: SSU rRNA
Rfam family: Eukaryotic small subunit ribosomal RNA
Source: RNAcentral
UAUUUAUUAGAUAACAAGCCAAUAUUCCUCUGGUCUAUUGUGGUGACUCAUAAUAACUGAUCGAAUCGCAAGGCCUAUGGCCGCGAUAAGUCAUUCAAGUUUCUGCCCCAUCAGCUUUCGAUGGUAGUGUAUUGGACUACCAUGGCGUUUACGGGUAACGGAGGAUUAGGGUUCGAUUCCGGAGAGGGAGCCUGAGAAACGGCUACCACAUCUAAGGAAGGCAGCAGGCGCGUAAAUUACCCAAUCCUGACUCAGGGAGGUAGUGACAAGAAAUAACGGACCGAGGCCUUCGGGCUUCGGGAUUGCAAUGAGCCGAAUUUACACCCCUUAGCGAGGAUCGAUUGGAGGGCAAGUCUGGUGCCAGCAGCCGCGGUAAUUCCAGCUCCAAUAGCGUAUAUUAAAGUUGUUGCAGUUAAAAAGCUCGUAGUUGGAUUUCUGGGAGGGUGCCAAUGUCCGCCGACGUGCGUGCGCAGCGGCGCCCUUCCAUCCUUCUGUUAACGCCUCUUGGCAUUCAUUUGCUGGUGGCGGGCUCAGAUAUUUUACCUUGAGAAAAUUAGAGUGUUUCAGGCAGGCUAG